Patella vulgata (common limpet) is the source of this 543-nucleotide long non-coding RNA. RefSeq lists it as uncharacterized. The record is from RefSeq and is a predicted model, not a curated record. NCBI's taxonomy places the organism in Eukaryota, Metazoa, Mollusca, Gastropoda, Patellidae. The transcript is spliced from 5 exons.
UUUAUAAUUAUCAUUAAUAACAAAUAUAAUAGAAUAUUUACACCUGAAACCUGCGACUAACAGUUGUUAUAAUAACUAACUAUUCAUUCAUUCAUAAGCUGGAAAAGGGUACAGGCAAAAGAAAAAGCUUCCAUGAUGAAAACCCUUGCCGCCAUCUUCAUUACACUUUCACUUCUGCUAACCGUUGUGACGUCACAGUGUUAUUUUGAUGAUUUUGGAAAAGGUGCAGAAAAAUGUGAAUUCUAUAUCAAUCGAAAUAGUCCCCAUGUACCUAUCAAGAGAGGUGAGAAGAAGAAAGUUGAGAGUUAUUGUUGUGAUUGUAAAAUAGAACCUGACGAUACUCUAUCAAUGUCAUGUUGUGCUCCAGGUGGAGAAUGUAAAUAAAAGACUAUACAAUAAUGGUACUCAUGGUUACUAUAGAGGACAGCCAUCUUAGAUAAUCUGUUAUCAAUAUCUAAAUCUGUAAAAUUCUGUUUUUAACACUUGUCGCCGGAAUGAGUGACUGUAUAAUGAAUAUAGUAUAAAAAUAAAUGAAAAUAUGUU